AUGCUCCUCCCCGCGCGCCGCCGACCCACCAGCGGCAUUCUUUCUGGUGUGCUAGGGGAAACAAACAACAAGAUGGUGGUGCGGGUCUUCGGGUAUGGGUCCCUGAUCUGGAACCCCGGCUUCGAUUUCAACGAGAAGAUCCUGAGAUUCAUCAAGGGCUACAAGCGAACGUUUAAUCUCGCUUGCAUUGACCAUAGAGGCGCUCCACAGAAUCCAUCCAGGACCUGCACUCCUGAAUCCGAAGAUGAAGAAAUAUGCGUAUUCAACGUGAGGAAUUUCAUACUUUUGGUGUGGUGCUAG
Molecule: ribosomal RNA, 300 nt
Filed under: Triticum aestivum (bread wheat)
Lineage: Eukaryota; Viridiplantae; Streptophyta; Magnoliopsida; Poales; Poaceae
Description: partial small subunit ribosomal RNA
Source: RNAcentral